AACGAACGCUGGCGGCAGGCCUAACACAUGCAAGUCGAACGCCCCGCAAGGGGAGUGGCCGACGGGUGAGUACCGCGUGGGAACAUACCCUUUUCUACGGAAUAGCUCUGGGAAACUGGAAUUAAUACCGUAUACGCCCUACGGGGGAAAGAUUUAUCGGGGAAGGAUUGGCCCGCGUUGGAUUAGCUAGUUGGUGGGGUAAAGGCCUACCAAGGCGACGAUCCAUAGCUGGUCUGAGAGGAUGAUCAGCCACAUUGGGACUGAGACACGGCCCAAACUCCUACGGGAGGCAGCAGUGGGGAAUAUUGGACAAUGGGCGCAAGCCUGAUCCAGCCAUGCCGCGUGAGUGAUGAAGGCCUUAGGGUUGUAAAGCUCUUUCACCGAUGAAGAUAAUGACGGUAGUCGGAGAAGAAGCCCCGGCUAACUUCGUG
This 431-nucleotide ribosomal RNA is filed under the name uncultured bacterium. RNAcentral describes it as "partial 16S ribosomal RNA". It matches the Rfam family "Bacterial small subunit ribosomal RNA", at positions 29 to 507 of the family's 1533-position model. The record is from RNAcentral.